Long non-coding RNA from Neopelma chrysocephalum (saffron-crested tyrant-manakin), 503 nucleotides. RefSeq lists it as uncharacterized. The record is from RefSeq and is a predicted model, not a curated record. Lineage: Eukaryota; Metazoa; Chordata; Aves; Passeriformes; Pipridae. The transcript has 3 exons.
CGGAGGGAGCCCGGGGGGUGGGGGGGGGCGGCGGGGGGGCUCCCCCGAAAUCCUUGUCGCUGGAUGUCAUUUUCUCCAGCAGGUUGGAGAUGUGUUUCAGUUCACACAGGAUCUGUGAGCCCACUGAUGGACAGAGGAUAUCAGGAAUGUGCUGCAUCUUUAUCUGUCAGUGUAGAAAGAGCUAUACCAUGCAGCUUUACUCAGCUUAAAGUCACUUUGUCCUGCUGUGAAUAGUGGCACUCUGUGCGGCUGUGAUGGGCAUGGAUGGAAAGAAGGUGCUGUUUUGCAGCCCUAUCUUCCACUGGGAGGUCAUCAAAGUGUGCUGCCCAGACAGAACCAUUGUGAGAGCAGGAUCUAGUGUCUCUCAACUCUUUCUCAAAAUCUGUGCUGCCAAGGACCAGAGAACCAGAUGGAGAAGCACCUACUGUAGUCUGCCAGUCUUGUGUGUGGCCAAGUUUUUACUUUUAAAAUACAGGAUGUUAUCCCUUCCACGUUUGCCAUAA